Oncorhynchus tshawytscha (Chinook salmon) is the source of this 615-nucleotide long non-coding RNA. NCBI's taxonomy places the organism in Eukaryota, Metazoa, Chordata, Actinopteri, Salmoniformes, Salmonidae. The record is from Ensembl.
GUGCGGCGGAGGCUAGACGGUUAGUGGGUUUCAUGGCUGUUUUCUCUGUGUGUGUCUCUCUGUGUAUGUCGUGUGUGUGUGUGUGUUUAGCGGGCGAUGAUGCGGUUCUCGGAGCUGGAGCUGAAGGAGAAGGAGUGCGGGGGUGUGUGUGUGUCUGCGUCGGCAGCGGUAGCAGGACAGGAGUUGGCAGACCGCCAGCAGAGAGAAAGAGAGUGGGAACACUGCCAACACACCGCCAGGCAGGGAGAGAGGGAGGGUGGAAGGCAGGACUAUGGGAACAACAGAGUCCCAGUCCUCCAGAGGUGUGGGGGCCAGAGAGAGAGCCUGUAUCCAGGGCAGGAGACCUGGGAGGGGGCUAGAGAUGGUGCCAGAGAGGGUGAGGGUUGGCGAUGUUCACCCCCAGUCCUGGCACUGGCAGACCGGCACCCCCAGGAGAAGGGUGGGCAGGGCAUGGUACCCAUUAGGAAACACACACACAGCCUACAGAAGAGAGAGGAGGAAGGAGAAAAGAGCUCAGAGAAGGCCAGAAUGACUUCAGAUGCGUGCGUGCUGUGGGGCAGUGAGCAACCUACGGCUCCUACUACUAAUGAGGAUGAUGAUGAUGAAGAGGUGAGG